GUAGCUGUGGUCUAGUGAUCAAGACGCCUUUGCAAACAUGUCUUGCAAACACAAGCAUCCAGGUUAAUUCCUUACUGUUGAUCUUCGGUCCUCAGUGAAUUCUCUUGAAGCAAGGAGAUCGUGGGUUCGAAUCCUGCUCGCUACA
RNAcentral lists this transfer RNA (145 nucleotides) under Aureobasidium pullulans EXF-150. It matches the Rfam family "tRNA". Rfam says of the family: Transfer RNA (tRNA) molecules are approximately 80 nucleotides in length. Lineage: Eukaryota; Fungi; Ascomycota; Dothideomycetes; Dothideales; Saccotheciaceae. The record is from Rfam by way of RNAcentral.